This is a non-coding RNA of Pelobates cultripes (western spadefoot toad), 213 nucleotides long. The record is from the annotation of a GenBank genome assembly. Lineage: Eukaryota; Metazoa; Chordata; Amphibia; Anura; Pelobatidae.
GGAAGUUGCCUAAUAAUUAUGCACACCUGAUAUAGGGUGUUGAUGUCAUUAGACCACACCCCUUCUCAUUACAGAGAUGCACAUCACCUAAUAUGCUUAAUUGGUAGUAGGCUUUCGAGCCUAUACAGCUUGGAGUAAGACAACAUGCAUAAAGAGGAUGAUGUGGUCAAAAUACUCAUUUGCCUAAUAAUUCUGCACUCCCUGUAGUUUUAG